Siniperca chuatsi (mandarin fish) is the source of this 653-nucleotide long non-coding RNA. RefSeq lists it as uncharacterized. NCBI's taxonomy places the organism in Eukaryota, Metazoa, Chordata, Actinopteri, Centrarchiformes, Sinipercidae. The record is from RefSeq and is a predicted model, not a curated record. The transcript is spliced from 2 exons.
UAGAUGUAAGACUGCAUUAUAAGUCAUAAUACCUACUUGUGUUUAGAUUCACGCGACCAGCCGAGUCGAGGGCCGGCUGUGGCUCUGACUCCGCCCCUCCUGAACUCCAUCUCUGCAUCAUCAAGGUUGAAGGAGGUGAGGACGGCAGAGGAGCUCCAUCAUGGGAUUUUCGUGGAGGAACGCCGGCCAAGUCCAGGUGCUCUGUGCCUUUACGUUCUGCCUCAGCUGUAAAAAUAGUUAUAUAAACAUUAACAUGACAACAAACGUACUUCAACGAGGCUGCACAUCUGAGAACAGAUCAGAUUUUGCCCAAACUCAGCAAUAAAGGACUGUAAGCUUCAAACAAAACAGCAUAACUACAGAAGCACUACUACGACCCGAUGUUAAACUAAAAAAAUAAGGAAUUUAACAUGAGCAUUACAACUGACACCACCCAUGCAAAAGACUAGUUAACUACUAUGACACAACUUACAGAUUCUCAUUUACAAUGAAUGAGAAAUAUGUCACAACUGGCAAGUACCAUCAAAACGGCUUCAUUGCAGAUGGUUUAAAGACAUGGAUAAGGGACAACUGGACAGAAUUACCUCACACCAGAGCAAGCUAAAAGAAACUCUUGAAAAACGUCUUUGCAAUGAUAAUUUAGAGCAGUGAUU